GACGAACGCUGGCGGCGUGCCUAAUACAUGCAAGUAGAACGCACAGUUUAUACCGUAGCUUGCUACACCAUAGACUGUGAGUUGCGAACGGGUGAGUAACGCGUAGGUAACCUGCCUGGUAGCGGGGGAUAACUAUUGGAAACGCUAGCUAAUACCGCAUAAUAUUAAUUAUUGCAUGAUAAUUAAUUGAAAGGUGCAAUUGCACCACUACCAGAUGGACCUGCGUUGUAUUAGCUAGUAGGUGAGGUAACGGCUCACCUAGGCGACGAUACAUAGCCGACCUGAGAGGGUGAUCGGCCACACUGGGACUGAGACACGGCCCAGACUGCUACGGGAGGCAGCAGUAGGGAAUCUGCGGCAAUGGACGAAAGUCUGACCGAGCAACGCCGCGUGAGUGAAGAAGGUUUUCGGAUCGUAAAGCUCUGUUGUAAGAGAAGAACGGGUGUGAGAGUGGAAAGUUCACACUGUGACGGUAUCUGACCAGAAAGGGACGGCUAACUACGUG
Molecule: ribosomal RNA, 505 nt
Filed under: uncultured bacterium
Lineage: Bacteria
Description: partial 16S ribosomal RNA
Rfam family: Bacterial small subunit ribosomal RNA
Source: RNAcentral